Molecule: ribosomal RNA, 479 nt
Filed under: uncultured Glaciecola sp.
Lineage: Bacteria; Pseudomonadati; Pseudomonadota; Gammaproteobacteria; Alteromonadales; Alteromonadaceae
Description: bacterial SSU rRNA
Rfam family: Bacterial small subunit ribosomal RNA
Source: RNAcentral
AGGCGGUCUGUUAAGCUAGAUGUGAAAGCCCCGCGCUCAACGUGGGAGGGUCAUUUAGAACUGGCAGACUAGAGUCUUGGAGAGGGGAGUGGAAUUCCAGGUGUAGCGGUGAAAUGCGUAGAGAUCUGGAGGAACAUCAAUGGCGAAGGCAACUCCCUGGCCAAAGACUGACGCUCAUGCACGAAAGCGUGGGGAGCGAACAGGAUUAGAUACCCUGGUAGUCCACGCCCUAAACGAUGUCAACUAGUUGUUGGUGGAGUAAGAUCCAUGAGUAACGUAGCUAACGCGUGAAGUUGACCGCCUGGGGAGUACGGUCGCAAGAUUAAAACUCAAAUGAAUUGACGGGGGCCCGCACAAGCGGUGGAGCAUGUGGUUUAAUUCGAUGCAACGCGAAGAACCUUACCUACUCUUGACAUACUAGAAACUUUUCAGAGAUGAAUUGGUGCCUUCGGGAAUCUAGAUACAGGUGCUGCAUGGCU